GACACUAUUUGUUGUUAUUAUAAUAAUUUAUUUUCACAAAUUUAUUAUAAUUAUAAAUAUUCUAAAUAGCUCCAAAUUUAUUUUCAAGGAAACAUUUUUACAAAUAUUUUUUCACACAAAUUAUAACAUAAAAAAAUGGUAAUAAAGCUAGAACCAAAUAAAAAUCUAAAACAUGGUCUAAAAGAGUAUGAUUCCAACUCAAAAUAGGAAUGGAAAACAAAUUCUAAUAAGGAUUACCAAUCAUUCUCUACGUCUACACCAAUCAUUCUUAGAUAUAAGAGGAGUAGAAGAAAAUUAGAAGAGAGAAUGGUAUGGAAAGUGGAGAUAUGUUUGACAAAAUGGGAUUCAUGGUGGGGCAUUAAUGAUCAUGAGGAGGUGGUAGAAGUGGUUGAGGGAGUCCAAGACAGUGACUGAACGGAAAACAAACCCCUAUAAGAAGUCAAUUUCAACAUAGGUAGCUCACAAUUAUUUAUGCUAAAAAUUGGAAACUUUCUUUAGGGGUUUAGC
This 507-nucleotide long non-coding RNA is filed under the name Vitis vinifera (wine grape). RNAcentral describes it as "long non-coding RNA (VVIN_LNC005390)". The record is from RNAcentral. Lineage: Eukaryota; Viridiplantae; Streptophyta; Magnoliopsida; Vitales; Vitaceae.